RNAcentral lists this ribosomal RNA (376 nucleotides) under uncultured fungus. Its description in RNAcentral is "eukaryotic LSU rRNA". It matches the Rfam family "Eukaryotic large subunit ribosomal RNA", at positions 40 to 398 of the family's 3401-position model. Lineage: Eukaryota; Fungi. The record is from RNAcentral.
AUAUCAAUAAGCGGAGGAAAAGAAACUAACAAGGAUUCCCCUAGUAACGGCGAGUGAAGCGGGAAAAGCUCAAAUUUGGAAUCUACCAAGAGUAACAUUCUUGGUCGAAUUGUAGUUUCAAGAAAGGGUGGCUGAGCGAAGCCGGAUAGAUGCAAGUUCUUUGGAACAGGACAUCAGAGAGGGUGACAAUCCCGUCCACCAUCUAUCCGUUUGCUUCUCAUCAAAGGCCCUCUUUUCAAAGAGUCGAGUUGUUUGGGAUUGCAGCUCAAAAUGGGUGGUAAAUUUCAUCUAAAGCUAAAUAUGGGUGAGAGACCGAUAGCGAACAAGUACCGUGAGGGAAAGAUGAAAAGCACUCUGAAGAGAGAGUGAAAGGUAC